This 1502-nucleotide ribosomal RNA is filed under the name Bifidobacterium pseudocatenulatum. Its description in RNAcentral is "16S ribosomal RNA". It matches the Rfam family "Bacterial small subunit ribosomal RNA". Lineage: Bacteria; Bacillati; Actinomycetota; Actinomycetes; Bifidobacteriales; Bifidobacteriaceae. The record is from RNAcentral.
GAGUCACGAAGAGUUUGAUCCUGGCUCAGGAUGAACGCUGGCGGCGUGCUUAACACAUGCAAGUCGAACGGGAUCCAUCAGGCUUUGCUUGGUGGUGAGAGUGGCGAACGGGUGAGUAAUGCGUGACCGACCUGCCCCAUACACCGGAAUAGCUCCUGGAAACGGGUGGUAAUGCCGGAUGCUCCGACUCCUCGCAUGGGGUGUCGGGAAAGAUUUCAUCGGUAUGGGAUGGGGUCGCGUCCUAUCAGGUAGUCGGCGGGGUAACGGCCCACCGAGCCUACGACGGGUAGCCGGCCUGAGAGGGCGACCGGCCACAUUGGGACUGAGAUACGGCCCAGACUCCUACGGGAGGCAGCAGUGGGGAAUAUUGCACAAUGGGCGCAAGCCUGAUGCAGCGACGCCGCGUGCGGGAUGACGGCCUUCGGGUUGUAAACCGCUUUUGAUCGGGAGCAAGCCUUCGGGUGAGUGUACCUUUCGAAUAAGCACCGGCUAACUACGUGCCAGCAGCCGCGGUAAUACGUAGGGUGCAAGCGUUAUCCGGAAUUAUUGGGCGUAAAGGGCUCGUAGGCGGUUCGUCGCGUCCGGUGUGAAAGUCCAUCGCUUAACGGUGGAUCUGCGCCGGGUACGGGCGGGCUGGAGUGCGGUAGGGGAGACUGGAAUUCCCGGUGUAACGGUGGAAUGUGUAGAUAUCGGGAAGAACACCAAUGGCGAAGGCAGGUCUCUGGGCCGUUACUGACGCUGAGGAGCGAAAGCGUGGGGAGCGAACAGGAUUAGAUACCCUGGUAGUCCACGCCGUAAACGGUGGAUGCUGGAUGUGGGGCCCGUUCCACGGGUUCCGUGUCGGAGCUAACGCGUUAAGCAUCCCGCCUGGGGAGUACGGCCGCAAGGCUAAAACUCAAAGAAAUUGACGGGGGCCCGCACAAGCGGCGGAGCAUGCGGAUUAAUUCGAUGCAACGCGAAGAACCUUACCUGGGCUUGACAUGUUCCCGACAGCCGUAGAGAUAUGGCCUCCCUUCGGGGCGGGUUCACAGGUGGUGCAUGGUCGUCGUCAGCUCGUGUCGUGAGAUGUUGGGUUAAGUCCCGCAACGAGCGCAACCCUCGCCCUGUGUUGCCAGCACGUCAUGGUGGGAACUCACGGGGGACCGCCGGGGUCAACUCGGAGGAAGGUGGGGAUGACGUCAGAUCAUCAUGCCCCUUACGUCCAGGGCUUCACGCAUGCUACAAUGGCCGGUACAACGGGAUGCGACACGGCGACGUGGAGCGGAUCCCUGAAAACCGGUCUCAGUUCGGAUUGGAGUCUGCAACCCGACUCCAUGAAGGCGGAGUCGCUAGUAAUCGCGGAUCAGCAACGCCGCGGUGAAUGCGUUCCCGGGCCUUGUACACACCGCCCGUCAAGUCAUGAAAGUGGGUAGCACCCGAAGCCGGUGGCCUAACCCUUUGUGGAUGGAGCCGUCUAAGGUGAGACUCGUGAUUGGGACUAAGUCGUAACAAGGUAGCCGUAG